RNAcentral lists this ribosomal RNA (432 nucleotides) under uncultured bacterium. Its description in RNAcentral is "partial 16S ribosomal RNA". It matches the Rfam family "Bacterial small subunit ribosomal RNA", at positions 29 to 506 of the family's 1533-position model. The record is from RNAcentral.
AACGAACGCUGGCGGCAUGCCUAACACAUGCAAGUCGAACGAUACCUUCGGGUCUAGUGGCGCACGGGUGCGUAACGCGUGGGAACCUGCCCUUAGGUUCGGAAUAACUCCCCGAAAGGGGUGCUAAUACCGGAUAAUGUCUUCGGACCAAAGAUUUAUCGCCUUUGGAUGGGCCCGCGUUGGAUUAGCUAGUUGGUAGGGUAAAAGCCUACCAAGGCGGCGAUCCAUAGCUGGUCUGAGAGGAUGACGAGCCACACUGGGACGGGGAGCAGGCCCAGACAACAGGGGACAGGGGGCGGGAGGAUGAUGCAGCGACGGGGCGAGAGCGAUGGCGGCAGGCGCGGGGUGAGUCUCUAGGGCUUGGGGUUGUAAAGCUCUUUUACCCGGGAUGAUAAUAACGGAACCGGAAGAAUAGGCUCCGGCAAACACCGU